AUUAAUUAUUUUUAAAAAAUAAAUAUCUAAAUUUUAAGUAUAUCAUUUACAAUGAUAAGAUGUUUUAAAAACUUUAUU
RNAcentral lists this transfer RNA (78 nucleotides) under Astegopteryx basalis. Its description in RNAcentral is "tRNA-Val". The record is from RNAcentral. Lineage: Eukaryota; Metazoa; Arthropoda; Insecta; Hemiptera; Hormaphididae.